This 253-nucleotide ribosomal RNA is filed under the name uncultured bacterium. RNAcentral's name for it is "partial 16S ribosomal RNA". It matches the Rfam family "Bacterial small subunit ribosomal RNA", at positions 524 to 776 of the family's 1533-position model. The record is from RNAcentral.
UACAGAGGUCUCAAGCGUUGUUCGGAUUCAUUGGGCGUAAAGGGUGCGUAGGUGGCGCUGUAAGUCGGGUGUGAAAUCCUGGGGCUUAACCCCGGAACUGCAUUCGAUACUGCAGUGCUUGAGGACUGGAGAGGAGACUGGAAUUCAUGGUGUAGCAGUGAAAUGCGUAGAGAUCAUGAGGAAGACCAGUGGCGAAGGCGGGUCUCUGGACAGUUCCUGACACUGAGGCACGAAGGCCAGGGGAGCAAACGGG